UUUCCGUAGGUGAACCUGCGGAAGGAUCAUUACCGAGUAAUCCUGUACUCCAGGAACUCCCACACUUGGCAAUACGACGUUGCUUCGGCGAGUCGUUGGAAACAGCCGUUGGCGGAAGAACAAUACUUUCUACGCGCGCCGGCCGGAGUUUCAUACUCUGAAUUUGUACCGUCUGAUAAACAUGUAAUUAUAAAAAACUUUCAACAACGGAUCUCUUGGUUUUG
RNAcentral lists this unclassified non-coding RNA (224 nucleotides) under plant metagenome. RNAcentral's name for it is "partial contains small subunit ribosomal RNA, internal transcribed spacer 1, and 5.8S ribosomal RNA". The record is from RNAcentral.